Haliotis rufescens (red abalone) is the source of this 476-nucleotide long non-coding RNA. RefSeq lists it as uncharacterized. NCBI's taxonomy places the organism in Eukaryota, Metazoa, Mollusca, Gastropoda, Lepetellida, Haliotidae. The record is from RefSeq and is a predicted model, not a curated record. The transcript has 3 exons.
CUAAAUGGUAUAUAACAUCACAAAUGCUAUGAGUGGUCAAGACAACAGUCUGUGCCAAAGUGUCGAGACUACAAAACGUAAAAAAACAAAAUGCUUGGACAAAUAAUGGUUUUCCUCCUCAUCACUGUUGCUAUGACGACGGCGUUCUAUCUGCCUUAUUAUGGAUAUGAUGAUGAUUUUUAUGACGAUAUCUACGACUUCGAUGACUUCUAUGACGAUGAUUUCUAUCCAUAUCAACCCUAUUGGUUCUUCGGCUAAGAGCCAACCAUCUGCAAGUGCCAACCAUUACUACUGGAUGUCAAAGUGCUGAAUAAGUGUUCAACAACCCUGUCACUGACUUUGAGGAUCCAGAUUCAAGCAUCGAUCUACAAAUAUGGUUACAGGCGAUGGAAGUAUACUGCCAUUACUCUGUCGCAUUUAUAAACAGUUUACACAUGUAUCACAAAUAAAUAUUUUAUACUUUCUUAAAAAAAAAC